GACGAACGCUGGCGGCGUGCUUAACACAUGCAAGUCGAACGGAAAGGCCCUGCUUGCCGGGUACUCGAGUGGCGAACGGGUGAGUAACACGUGGGUGAUCUGCCCUGCACUUCGGGAUAAGCCUGGGAAACUGGGUCUAAUACCGGAUAGGAGCCAUUUUUAGUGUGAUGGUUGGAAAGUUUUUUCGGUGUAGGAUGAGCUCGCGGCCUAUCAGCUUGUUGGUGGGGUAAUGGCCUACCAAGGCGGCGACGGGUAGCCGGCCUGGGAGGGUGGACGGCCACAUUGGGACUGAGAUACGGCCCAGACUCCUACGGGGGGCAGCAGUGGGGAAUAUUGCACAAUGGGCGCAAGCCGGAUGCAGCGACGCCGCGUGGGGGAUGACGGCCUUCGGGUUGUAAACUCCUUUCGCUAGGGACGAAGCUUUUUGUGACGGUACCUAGAUAAGAAGCACCGGCUAACUACGUG
This 465-nucleotide ribosomal RNA is filed under the name uncultured bacterium. RNAcentral's name for it is "partial 16S ribosomal RNA". It matches the Rfam family "Bacterial small subunit ribosomal RNA", at positions 28 to 507 of the family's 1533-position model. The record is from RNAcentral.